ACUAUAUAAAGUCAACUGGGUGGCUACUAACUCAUCGUUCUAAUAUUCAAAAAUGAAUUUCCUAGUUAUGGUUGCUGCAGCCUUUACCGCUUUACUGGCCUACAGUGGUGAAAAAAUCAAGCUACCACCCUUCCUUCCCGGAAAGUAAAGGAAUGCCAGAGCUCUUUUAUCUGAUUGCAAAAUUCCAUUAAACAUGUAUUUGGGUUCUGUUCACAAAUAUCAAUCGUAAAUAAAAUCGUAAUUAA
This is a long non-coding RNA of Musca domestica (house fly), 245 nucleotides long. RefSeq lists it as uncharacterized. The record is from RefSeq and is a predicted model, not a curated record. The transcript has 2 exons. NCBI's taxonomy places the organism in Eukaryota, Metazoa, Arthropoda, Insecta, Diptera, Muscidae.